This is an unclassified non-coding RNA of Papio anubis (olive baboon), 148 nucleotides long. It matches the Rfam family "Metazoan signal recognition particle RNA". From Rfam's summary of the family: The signal recognition particle (SRP) is a universally conserved ribonucleoprotein. The record is from Ensembl. Lineage: Eukaryota; Metazoa; Chordata; Mammalia; Primates; Cercopithecidae.
GCCAGGCGUGGUGGCGCAUGCCUGUAGUCCCAGCUACUCAGGAGGCUGAGGUGGGAGAGUCACUUGAACCCAGGAGACAGAGGUUGCAGUGAGCUGAGAUCACGCCACUGCACCCCAUCCUGGGUGAUGGAGUGAGACCUCAUCUUAA